CCUACGGGGGCAGCAGUGGGGAAUUUUGGACAAUGGGGGCAACCCUGAUCCAGCCAUUCCGCGUGAGUGAAGAAGGCCUUCGGGUUGUAAAGCUCUUUCGGCAGGAACGAAACGGCCCUAGUUAAUACCUGGGGCUAAUGACGGUACCUGAAGAAGAAGCACCGGCUAACUACGUGCCAGCAGCCGCGGUAAUACGUAGGGUGCGAGCGUUAAUGUGAAUUACUGGGCGUCAAUUUUGCGCGGGCGGUGUGAAAUCCCCGGGCUUAACCUGGGAACUGCGUUUGUGACUGCAAGACUCGAGUACGGCAGAGGGGGGUGGAAUUCCACGUGUAGCAGUGAAAUGCGUAGAGAUGUGGAGGAACACCGAUGGCGAAGGCAGCCCCCUGGGCUAGUACUGACGCUCAUGCACGAAAGCGUGGGGAGCAAACAGGAUUAGAUACCCCUGUAGUC
Molecule: ribosomal RNA, 450 nt
Filed under: uncultured bacterium
Lineage: Bacteria
Description: partial 16S ribosomal RNA
Rfam family: Bacterial small subunit ribosomal RNA
Source: RNAcentral